RNAcentral lists this ribosomal RNA (344 nucleotides) under uncultured bacterium. Its description in RNAcentral is "bacterial SSU rRNA". It matches the Rfam family "Bacterial small subunit ribosomal RNA", at positions 917 to 1264 of the family's 1533-position model. The record is from RNAcentral.
GGGCCCGCACAAGCGGUGGAGCAUGUGGUUUAAUUCGACGCAACGCGAAGAACCUUACCAGGGUUUGACAUCCUGCGAAUCUCUUGGAAACAGGAGAGUGCCUUCGGGAACGCAGUGACAGGUGGUGCAUGGCUGUCGUCAGCUCGUGUCGUGAGAUGUUGGUUAAGUCCCGCAACGAGCGCAACCCACGUCUUUAGUUGCCAGCAUUUAGUUGGGCACUCUAGAGAGACUGCCGGUGAUAAACCGGAGGAAGGUGUGGAUGACGUCAAGUCAUCAUGCCCCUUACAUCCUGGGCUACACACGUACUACAAUGCUACGGACAAAGGGCUGCAAUUCGCGAGGAC